Molecule: ribosomal RNA, 588 nt
Filed under: uncultured bacterium
Lineage: Bacteria
Description: partial 16S ribosomal RNA
Rfam family: Bacterial small subunit ribosomal RNA
Source: RNAcentral
UGGGGAAUAUUGGACAAUGGGCGCAAGCCUGAUCCAGCAAUGCCGCGUGUGUGAAGAAGGCCUUCGGGUUGUAAAGCACUUUUAUCAGGAGCGAAACGCUGUCGGCUAAUACCCGGCGGAACUGACGGUACCUGAGGAAUAAGCACCGGCUAACUUCGUGCCAGCAGCCGCGGUAAUACGAAGGGUGCAAGCGUUAAUCGGAAUUACUGGGCGUAAAGCGUGCGUAGGCGGUUUCUUAAGUCUGCUGUGAAAUCCCCGGGCUCAACCUGGGAAUGGCAGUGGAUACUGGGAGGCUAGAGUGUGUCAGAGGGUGGUGGAAUUCCCGGUGUAGCGGUGAAAUGCGUAGAGAUCGGGAGGAACAUCAGUGGCGAAGGCGGCCACCUGGGACAACACUGACGCUGAGGCACGAAAGCGUGGGGAGCAAACAGGAUUAGAUACCCUGGUAGUCCACGCCCUAAACGAUGCGAACUGGAUGUUGGUCUCAACUCGGAGAUCAGUGUCGAAGCUAACGCGUUAAGUUCGCCGCCUGGGGAGUACGGUCGCAAGACUGAAACUCAAAGGAAUUGACGGGGUCAUAGCUGUUUCCUG